This 77-nucleotide transfer RNA is filed under the name Thermoanaerobacteraceae bacterium. Its description in RNAcentral is "tRNA-Cys". It matches the Rfam family "tRNA". Rfam says of the family: Transfer RNA (tRNA) molecules are approximately 80 nucleotides in length. Their secondary structure includes four short double-helical elements and three loops (D, anti-codon, and T loops). Lineage: Bacteria; Bacillati; Bacillota; Clostridia; Thermoanaerobacterales; Thermoanaerobacteraceae. The record is from RNAcentral.
GGCGAAGUAACCAAGUGUUUUAAGGUGCUGGGCUGCAAACCCAGUAUUCGUGAGUUAGAAUCUCACCUUCGCCUCCA